Long non-coding RNA from Meriones unguiculatus (Mongolian gerbil), 686 nucleotides. RefSeq lists it as uncharacterized. The record is from RefSeq and is a predicted model, not a curated record. The transcript has 3 exons. Lineage: Eukaryota; Metazoa; Chordata; Mammalia; Rodentia; Muridae.
GAGCAACAGGGGUUGCUUGUGACUUUCUUCUGAUCUCCUGCACCUGUGGUUCUGGUCCCGUGACUACAGAGUCUGUCAUUUCUUGGACACCCUGCAUGCUCCAUGUUCAGAGCAUGGUGCCCAGGGAGAGAAGAUGAUUUGGACACAGAUGGAGUGUUCCCGGCUACAACAGCUUAUUGGUCACAAUUCUGUUUUGGAAGAGCUGUUCCUAACAAAGCCUCGUGGGAAAAGAAUCAGCAGGUGUGAUCUCUCAACUUUCUGUUCCAGCCGUCUGCUUUCAUGCCUCCUCUGCUGUCAUGGACUCUCCCUUAGGAACUCUAGCCAGAAUAAACUCUUUCAUAAUUCUCUUUUGGUCAUGGUGUUUUAGCAGCAACUAAUAUGGAGCUUUUGCCAAUGUGGAUGGAACACAGACACUCUCUUGAAAAGAAAUGUCACAAAGCACUGGUGAUUGAACCAAAGUCAUUGUGCAUGGCCAGGCAAGCAUUCAGCUGCGGAGCUACAUUCCCAGGCCCACUGUUGACUUGUUUGCAUUGGAUUCAUUUUCCUCCAGGAACGAGCUAUUUACCUUUUUUGGCUGCUAUUCUUAAAGGAAGAGUUUGCAUUCCUGAAGCGUACACUCCACGGCCCCAUGAUAUUGGAAGCAGAUGGCCCACGGUAUGCUGUGAGACAUGGGAAUCAAAUUUAUG